Long non-coding RNA from Pyrus x bretschneideri (Chinese white pear), 652 nucleotides. RefSeq lists it as uncharacterized. The transcript has 2 exons. Lineage: Eukaryota; Viridiplantae; Streptophyta; Magnoliopsida; Rosales; Rosaceae. The record is from RefSeq and is a predicted model, not a curated record.
UUUCUCCACGUUUCAAUAAUUUCAAACAGUGUGACACGUUUCACUAGAGGAAAUGUGGCGGCCAAGGUGAAUGACAUGUGUCAAAUGCUCCCAUUUGUUCAUGACUCGUGGUUUCUUAGAUUUCCAGUUUCUACCAGAAGAAUGAAUAGUUGAGAAAAAGGACCUAGCAUUAGCAAAGCAAAGGAUUUUUGUAGAAAACAAUGAAGCAGCACCAGGGAAGGCUAGUGUUUGGAUAGUGGUCAAGAGCCGGAGGCAUUACUAGCACUACUGCACAAGGUUGGCCAAACACGGCGGAGCUGCUGCCGUUGCGUUUUAUGACAGCCAAAGCGCCCAACCGCGCCGCCGUUCAUGGACAUAGGCUGCCCAUCCCUCGUGUUGUUGAUGAGGAAGAAGUAGAGAAGGUGAUAGAGAAAGGGAAAGAGGAGAAAGAAGAAAAGAGGCAGGAGGUGGAGAAGGCCGUCGACUCCAAAAUCAACCGCAGCCGCUCCGAAGGUGACACCUGCCCUCCUGAGACUACUGCUUCUAGUUAGUUAAUCUUCCAUCACAAUCAUAAACCAUUUGUGUUUUUUGUUGUAAUUUACUCGUGCUUUUAUUUGUGUGUUUGCACAAUUUAUGAUCCAACAUAAUGCGCCAAAGAAAAGAGCUUGCUGUC